UUCUCAACGAAUCGGCGUCUCUCUAUGUGGUUCUUGUCGACGAAGUAAAACGGCGUCCCCUCUAUCGGUUGCUCUUCUAGACGAAGGAUAACAGCGAGAUCUCUCUCGUGGAGGCUCUCGGAAACGAAGGAAAACAGUGACUCGAAAGGUAAAGAUGAGUUCAUAUGUUUUAAUGUUUGAAUAUUUCAAUUAUGCAUGUCUUUGAUUGAGCUCUUUCAUCGUGAAUCUUAAGAAGUCCAGUCCUCUGAUUUGUUUUGAUAUUUUUUUUCUGUUUUUGUGUCUUGCGAGUGAUUGAGAAAGAGGCGCGAUCGAGGAUAAACCUUUCUCUUUGUCAGACAAAACCCCACACUUCUUGUUCAUAAAGACAUAGUGAAGCAGGAGGCUGAGUAAUGGCGAUCGAGAGUAUAGUAAAAGAAGAUUCCAGAAAAUGGAUAGAGAAAUUAUAGCAAGAGUGGAAGAAGACGAUCAUAGUGCUCUUGUGUUUGAAAUUCAUGUUUAUUCUCUGAGUUUCUUCAUCGUCUUCUCCUCUUAUUUUUUUUCUCUCUCUCACGUUAAUAAACAGGGAAAAUUUAUUAUUCUAAGAGCAUGAUUAUCGGCUGGGACAUUUUUUGGUCCUUAAAUUUUUUUGUUUUUCUUAUCAAAAAAAUAAUAAUAAUAAAUAAGAACCAAUUGCGGGUCGCCACGUGUCAGUGGAGUCUGCAAACAGUGUUGGACAAUCCUUGGGCCGUUACUUAAUUAGGGACAUUUGAGCAAAGUUUCUAGCAAAAAAGUAGUGGGCCCUACACUAAAAACACUAAGGACCAAUGUUAGGACUACCAAUAAUAAGGUUGUUCUAACCAUCUUUACAUGCAUUCUUCAGUUUCUUGUCUUCUCAAAAAAUCUAGGUUAACAAAUCUCUGUCUCUAGCUUUCAAGAAAAAAAUAUGUCUAUCUCUCAGUGUAUUCUUCUAACAAUAUUAGAUGUUUACAAUCUAUUUUCUCUCUGGUGAAUUAUCAUAAUGAUUUAAGCUCAUCAUCAAUUCAUCAUCAAUCUUCUCAAUAGUUUUUUCACUUGUAAUGUUCUUAUGCAUCAAGUUCUAGGAGUCUUGUGAAGUACGAUGGCUGCCGUGAAUGAUUUGGAUCUUCUUGUUGAGACGAAAAUGUUGUUCGUGUGUUGGUUACACUGGUAAGAUACAAGGUUGCAGUGAUUCUAGCUGACUUACAAUUUGGUCAACGUAAGAGAAACUUGCUGUUGUAACAAGUACAAAAUCAUAGGAAAAACGAACAUCACUUUCUGCAGAAUAUACCUUUCGCUUGAGACUUUUGUUUCUUGGAAGCAAACUCGACUUUCUUUGCCUUAUUGUCGUUUAUGGUUUUCUUGAUUAUUUCUGUACUAUCCUGAAAAGAAUCACCAAAACUCCUUUUUAGAGUCAUGUCUCAAAAGAUGGAUACAGUUAAAUGUUUUGGCAAAAUAAAACUAACCGUAGAGCAGCUUUCUGGCUGCAUCACGAACAUCAUACUUUCCUGCUCGCUUUUUUUGAAUGAUCUCCAAACUAUCGCCGCCAUCGAUUGACCUCUAGAGUAUGAUUCUUGGUUGCACGUCUACUCUUUUUUCAAGCCUCUUGAUAGUAGUUAUUAGUAAUGAGCGUAUCGUUACAAAACAUGUGUGAUAAAAAAACAAAUGAAUUGGUAAAGAGACCCAUAAGCAAAAAAGUGUAGACAAACAAAUAUUAUCUUUUAAAAUUUUUAGAAAAUAUCAUUACCAAAUCACCUAUAGAUUUCAUUUUUCAUUUUUUAAGUUUUACUAAAAUCACUCAGAUAGUCAGCUCUGAACGAAGAUCUAACUUGCAUGUAAAGAAUUAUAUUUAAUUUUUAAACUUACAUGUAAGCUUUUUAAUCGCUCAGCUAGUCAGCUCACCUAUAGAUUUAGAGACACUUUUUCACUUUCUCUUACACCUAGAGACACUUCAUACAUGUGACACACUUUAUUGUGGGCCAGUGAUAGAUAGUGGACAAUUUUAUCACCCUUAAUAGAAACGAUAAUUGUGGACGGGUGAUGCGUGGAUGCGUGAUUUAUGGACGGAGUAUACAUGGAUGAGUGAUGUGUGGAUGAGUGAUUAUAUGUGGACAGGCGAUGUUAAUGUGUGGACAAACGAUGUUAAUGUGUGGGCAUAUGAUGUUAAUGUGUUUUAUAGUAGAUAACUCUCAUCAAAAGAAAAUUUUUAAAGGUAUCAACCAACGGCCUUCGUGUUAAAAAUGUUCACGUCCACAACUAAUUUAUAAUUAUAUUAUUCACGCUCUGGUAUCCACAUCCACAUUCACAUUCAAAUUUGUUAAUAUAUAUAUAAUAUAUAUAUGAAAAUGGAUCUUAAAAGAUAGAUAAUUUUAUAUAUAAUUUAUUGUAACAAUUAUUUUUGUUUAAUAUAUUUUAGAAUUUGAGAUAAAUGUAAAUGAAAUCAUAAAGUGAAAUGAGAAAAACAAUAAAGUAGAAUAAGAAGAGGAGAAAGAUUAGUGUGAUACAUAAGAAAGAAAGAGGUUAUAUGAGUCAUUUUCACAAGAAAAAAGUGUGUCUCAAGUGUGAAGUGUCUUGUAAUAUAAUUAGAAAGUGAGAAAGUGUUUCUAAGUGUAAAAAAUUGAAACGGUUUUGGUUACACAUUGCUUGCUUUGUUUCUUCUGCUGGUCGUUUCUCUCGCUGGUACGUAAAGUAUCUUGUUUAGUUCUUGUUUAGCUCUUUUAGUUGUGUUCCUGUUUAAAAAUUAAAGGUAGUAGACUUCAAGUGAAAAAAAAAUUAGGGCUAAUAGACUUCAAGUGAAAAUCAAAUUUAGUUACAAGAUUCAAAUAAAAACAGAUCCAAAUGAAAAUAAACAUAGACAUCCUUUAUAAAAAAAACCACAAGUGACAACAUAAACAUCGCACUGAAACACAAAACAUAAGACAUAGCCCAUCCGGAUAUCCACAAGUAUGGCUCUGAUGUAGCCUUAUUCAUAGGGAAAUCAAGAAAUGAACCCAA
This is a long non-coding RNA of Brassica rapa (field mustard), 2988 nucleotides long. RefSeq lists it as uncharacterized. Lineage: Eukaryota; Viridiplantae; Streptophyta; Magnoliopsida; Brassicales; Brassicaceae. The record is from RefSeq and is a predicted model, not a curated record.